GUUGGUGAUGGCUCCGGUGUAGUGAGGACAUGUGCAGCUAGGAUUAGGGUUCCUUAGAACGCAAUAUUUAAAUACCCAUUCCGCGUUGAUCUGGGCUGUCCGUUCGAGGAUACGCGACCCUUUCUCGUCCAUUGGAUCUAUCUUAUUCGGAGAAUGAAUCUAGAUCGCACGAUCAGAUUGAAUUUGACCUUUUGAUCGCGCCUAAAGAGGAAACGCAUCUAGGUCGUUCACAUGCGUGGGAUGAGAUCUGAACCGCCAGAUUGCCAGACAUGCGAAUCACUCAUAUGGCUUUUAGUGUGGUGCCGAUGUCAUCGAGGUUGCCAUGCGGCAUGCUCUAGUCCCUGGGGCUAUUGACCGAAUUCAAAUUUUCUUU
Molecule: long non-coding RNA, 373 nt
Filed under: Carica papaya (papaya)
Lineage: Eukaryota; Viridiplantae; Streptophyta; Magnoliopsida; Brassicales; Caricaceae
Description: long non-coding RNA (CPAP_LNC011114)
Source: RNAcentral